UGCUAAUCUGCGAUAAGCGUCGGUAAGGUGAUAUGAACCGUUAUAACCGGCGAUUUCCGAAUGGGGAAACCCAGUGUGUUUCGACACACUAUCAUUAACUGAAUCCAUAGGUUAAUGAGGCGAACCGGGGGAACUGAAACAUCUAAGUACCCCGAGGAAAAGAAAUCAACCGAGAUUCCCCCAGUAGCGGCGAGCGAACGGGGAGCAGCCCAGAGCCUGAAUCAGUGUGUGUGUUAGUGGAAGCGUCUGGAAAGGCGCGCGAUACAGGGUGACAGCCCCGUACACAAAAAUGCACAUGCUGUGAGCUCGAUGAGUAGGGCGGGACACGUGGUAUCCUGUCUGAAUAUGGGGGGACCAUCCUCCAAGGCUAAAUACUCCUGACUGACCGAUAGUGAACCAGUACCGUGAGGGAAAGGCGAAAAGAACCCCGGCGAGGGGAGUGAAAAAGAACCUGAAACCGUGUACGUACAAGCAGUGGGAGCACGCUUAGGCGUGUGACUGCGUACCUUUUGUAUAAUGGGUCAGCGACUUAUAUUCUGUAGCAAGGUUAACCGAAUAGGGGAGCCGAAGGGAAACCGAGUCUUAACUGGGCGUUAAGUUGCAGGGUAUAGACCCGAAACCCGGUGAUCUAGCCAUGGGCAGGUUGAAGGUUGGGUAACACUAACUGGAGGACCGAACCGACUAAUGUUGAAAAAUUAGCGGAUGACUUGUGGCUGGGGGUGAAAGGCCAAUCAAACCGGGAGAUAGCUGGUUCUCCCCGAAAGCUAUUUAGGUAGCGCCUCGUGAAUUCAUCUCCGGGGGUAGAGCACUGUUUCGGCAAGGGGGUCAUCCCGACUUACCAACCCGAUGCAAACUGCGAAUACCGGAGAAUGUUAUCACGGGAGACACACGGCGGGUGCUAACGUCCGUCGUGAAGAGGGAAACAACCCAGACCGCCAGCUAAGGUCCCAAAGUCAUGGUUAAGUGGGAAACGAUGUGGGAAGGCCCAGACAGCCAGGAUGUUGGCUUAGAAGCAGCCAUCAUUUAAAGAAAGCGUAAUAGCUCACUGGUCGAGUCGGCCUGCGCGGAAGAUGUAACGGGGCUAAACCAUGCACCGAAGCUGCGGCAGCGACGCUGAUGCGUUGUUGGGUAGGGGAGCGUUCUGUAAGCCUGCGAAGGUGUGCUGUGAGGCAUGCUGGAGGUAUCAGAAGUGCGAAUGCUGACAUAAGUAACGAUAAAGCGGGUGAAAAGCCCGCUCGCCGGAAGACCAAGGGUUCCUGUCCAACGUUAAUCGGGGCAGGGUGAGUCGACCCCUAAGGCGAGGCCGAAAGGCGUAGUCGAUGGGAAACAGGUUAAUAUUCCUGUACUUGGUGUUACUGCGAAGGGGGGACGGAGAAGGCUAUGUUGGCCGGGCGACGGUUGUCCCGGUUUAAGCGUGUAGGCUGGUUUUCCAGGCAAAUCCGGAAAAUCAAGGCUGAGGCGUGAUGACGAGGCACUACGGUGCUGAAGCAACAAAUGCCCUGCUUCCAGGAAAAGCCUCUAAGCAUCAGGUAACAUCAAAUCGUACCCCAAACCGACACAGGUGGUCAGGUAGAGAAUACCAAGGCGCUUGAGAGAACUCGGGUGAAGGAACUAGGCAAAAUGGUGCCGUAACUUCGGGAGAAGGCACGCUGAUAUGUAGGUGAAGUCCCUUGCGGAUGGAGCUGAAAUCAGUCGAAGAUACCAGCUGGCUGCAACUGUUUAUUAAAAACACAGCACUGUGCAAACACGAAAGUGGACGUAUACGGUGUGACGCCUGCCCGGUGCCGGAAGGUUAAUUGAUGGGG
This 1805-nucleotide ribosomal RNA is filed under the name Escherichia coli. Its description in RNAcentral is "partial 23S ribosomal RNA". It matches the Rfam family "Bacterial large subunit ribosomal RNA", at positions 59 to 1889 of the family's 2925-position model. Lineage: Bacteria; Pseudomonadati; Pseudomonadota; Gammaproteobacteria; Enterobacterales; Enterobacteriaceae. The record is from RNAcentral.